GAUGAACGCUGGCGGCGUGCCUAAUACAUGCAAGUCGAGCGAACGGACGAGAAGCUUGCUUCUCUGAUGUUAGCGGCGGACGGGUGAGUAACACGUGGAUAACCUACCUAUAAGACUGGGAUAACUUCGGGAAACCGGAGCUAAUACCGGAUAAUAUUUUGAACCGCAUGGUUCAAAAGUGAAAGACGGUCUUGCUGUCACUUAUAGAUGGAUCCGCGCUGCAUUAGCUAGUUGGUAAGGUAACGGCUUACCAAGGCAACGAUGCAUAGCCGACCUGAGAGGGUGAUCGGCCACACUGGAACUGAGACACGGUCCAGACUCCUACGGGAGGCAGCAGUGGGGAAUCUUCCGCAAUGGGCGAAAGCCUGACGGAGCAACGCCGCGUGAGUGAUGAAGGUCUUCGGAUCGUAAAACUCUGUUAUUAGGGAAGAACAUAUGUGUAAGUAACUGUGCACAUCUUGACGGUACCUAAUCAGAAAGCCACGGCUAACUACGUGCCAGCAGCCGCGGUAAUACGUAGGUGGCAAGCGUUAUCCGGAAUUAUUGGGCGUAAAGCGCGCGUAGGCGGUUUUUUAAGUCUGAUGUGAAAGCCCACGGCUCAACCGUGGAGGGUCAUUGGAAACUGGAAAACUUGAGUGCAGAAGAGGAAAGUGGAAUUCCAUGUGUAGCGGUGAAAUGCGCAGAGAUAUGGAGGAACACCAGUGGCGAAGGCGACUUUCUGGUCUGUAACUGACGCUGAUGUGCGAAAGCGUGGGGAUCAAACAGGAUUAGAUACCCUGGUAGUCCACGCCGUAAACGAUGAGUGCUAAGUGUUAGGGGGUUUCCGCCCCUUAGUGCUGCAGCUAACGCAUUAAGCACUCCGCCUGGGGAGUACGACCGCAAGGUUGAAACUCAAAGGAAUUGACGGGGACCCGCACAAGCGGUGGAGCAUGUGGUUUAAUUCGAAGCAACGCGAAGAACCUUACCAAAUCUUGACAUCCUUUGACAACCCUAGAGAUAGAGCUUUCCCCUUCGGGGGACAAAGUGACAGGUGGUGCAUGGUUGUCGUCAGCUCGUGUCGUGAGAUGUUGGGUUAAGUCCCGCAACGAGCGCAACCCUUAAGCUUAGUUGCCAUCAUUAAGUUGGGCACUCUAAGUUGACUGCCGGUGACAAACCGGAGGAAGGUGGGGAUGACGUCAAAUCAUCAUGCCCCUUAUGAUUUGGGCUACACACGUGCUACAAUGGACAAUACAAAGGGCAGCGAAACCGUGAGGUCAAGCAAAUCCCAUAAAGUUGUUCUCAGUUCGGAUUGUAGUCUGCAACUCGACUACAUGAAGCUGGAAUCGCUAGUAAUCGUAGAUCAGCAUGCUACGGUGAAUACGUUCCCGGGUCU
RNAcentral lists this ribosomal RNA (1372 nucleotides) under uncultured bacterium. RNAcentral describes it as "bacterial SSU rRNA". It matches the Rfam family "Bacterial small subunit ribosomal RNA", at positions 28 to 1381 of the family's 1533-position model. The record is from RNAcentral.